CCUGGUAGUCCACGCUGUAAACGAUGAGAACUAGAUGCUGGGCAGCUUGACUGUUUAGUAUCGAAGCUAACGCGAUAAGUUCUCCGCCUGGGGAGUACGGUCGCAAGACCGAAACUCAAAGGAAUUGACGGGGGCCCGCACAAGCGGCGGAGCAUGUUGCUUAAUUCGAUGCAACGCGAAGAACCUUACCUGGGUUGAACUACGCAGGAAAAGCCACAGAGAUGUGGUGUCCGAAAGGGCCUGCGAUAGGUGGUGCAUGGCUGUCGUCAGCUCGUGUCGUGAGAUGUUGGGUUAAGUCCCGCAACGAGCGCGACCCUUAUCCCAUGUUGCCAGCGGGUUAUGCCGGGGACUCGUGGGAGACUGCCGGGGUCAACUCGGAGGAAGGUGGGGAUGACGUCAAGUCAGCAUGCCCCUUAUGUCCAGGGCUGCAAACAUGCUACAAUGGCCGGUACAAAGGGUCGCAAGCCUGCGAAGGUAAGCCAAUCCCAUAAAGCCGGUCUCAGUUCGGAUCGGAGUCUGCAACUCGACUCCGUGAAGUCGGAGUCGCUAGUAAUCCCGAAUCAGCAACGUCGGGGUGAAUACGUUCCCGGGCCUUGUACACACCGCCCGUCACACCACGAAAGUUGGUAACACCCGAAGCCAGUGGCCUAACCGCAAGGA
This 660-nucleotide ribosomal RNA is filed under the name uncultured bacterium. Its description in RNAcentral is "bacterial SSU rRNA". It matches the Rfam family "Bacterial small subunit ribosomal RNA", at positions 786 to 1447 of the family's 1533-position model. The record is from RNAcentral.